RNAcentral lists this signal recognition particle RNA (148 nucleotides) under Homo sapiens (human). Its description in RNAcentral is "Metazoan signal recognition particle RNA". It matches the Rfam family "Metazoan signal recognition particle RNA". Rfam says of the family: The signal recognition particle (SRP) is a universally conserved ribonucleoprotein. It is involved in the co-translational targeting of proteins to membranes. The eukaryotic SRP consists of a 300-nucleotide 7S RNA and six proteins: SRPs 72, 68, 54, 19, 14, and 9. The record is from Rfam by way of RNAcentral. Lineage: Eukaryota; Metazoa; Chordata; Mammalia; Primates; Hominidae.
GCUGGGUGUGGUGGCGGGCACCUGUAAUCCCAGCUACUAAGGAGGCUGAGGUGGGAGAAUCGCUUGAACCCAGGAGGCAGAGGUUGCAGUGAGCUGAGAUUGCGCCACUGCAUUCCAGCCUGGGUGACACAGCGAGACUCCGUCUCAA